This is a long non-coding RNA of Protopterus annectens (West African lungfish), 2038 nucleotides long. RefSeq lists it as uncharacterized. Lineage: Eukaryota; Metazoa; Chordata; Ceratodontiformes; Protopteridae. The transcript is spliced from 2 exons. The record is from RefSeq and is a predicted model, not a curated record.
ACAUUAAGUGAUGUAAGAUCCCGCAAGUUUCCAUCAUUGUUUGUCAAGAAAUACACCCAUGAGCAUGAUAUGGUAUGUCACAUGCUCUCACCAUCUCCAAAUGAACGUCCUGAAGCUGUAGAAAUCAUGGAAGAAUCAUUUUUUGAAGAACUGGGACUCUCUGGAAAAACAGUUGUAAGACAAAGAUCACGGACUUUAAGCUCAUCUGGAUUUAAGCACUUCAGACAUCCAAGUAGUUAAUAUUGUUUUUUCUGAUUUUGUGCCUUUGGUAUUCCAAAGCAGAGGUGGUCAAUAAUGGAUUUUUCUGUUCUGUCAUUUGCACUACUUUUCCUUUCAGUAGUGGAUCAAAAUAGGCACUGUUAAUAGCCUUCAUUCAUGCACUCCCUGAAGAGACCAACAAUAAUACCAAGGUGUUACUUUUGCCUCGUACCUUGGUGUGCCAAAUGCAGAUUCUGAUUCAAAUGAUUACCAAGAACGUAGCAUCCUGAGGCUUUCUGCACAAUUCUUAAAUGGAAUUUUCAUCAGAAACCUAUUUUAAUGUGGGAAGUAUCAAGGCUAGAUGUGAUUUUGUACUUUAAACAGAAUUUGCUUUACUGACUUAGAUGAAUAUUUUUUUUAGAUUGACAUGAUGUGAUCUACUGAGUUAUCUUUUCAGGGGAUCUGCUUUCACGGCAACAGAAUUGUCUUUUUUGCCAUUAUUGCAUUUAUUGUACUUGACUUGCAAUACAUUGUCUGUACUACAGAAAGUAGAAAUGUUCUAUAUGUAAAUACUGUAAUUUUGUGUUGUAGUCUGUCUUCGUGUAUUUUUUUUUUUUUUUACUGAUAUGGAGGUAUUGUGGAAUUUAAUGUGUGCCUGAUAAUGCUAUUCAAAAUCCAUCACACUGAUGAUAAAAAAGCUAAGAGAUUUUUGAAAUCUCACACUGAUAGAAAAAUAGUCUUAUUUACCAAGAAUAACAGGUAAAACAGUAGGGCAGUUAAGGUGUGUUAACAUUCUGCCAUGCUGUUUUCCUGUUUUAGUUUUAUUUUGGUGAUAUCAUUAAGUUGGUCAAGCAUUCAGAACACACGCAGUUCUUUUUUUCCCAGUAAUCAUUCAACAGCAUUGACUGUUUGGUGUGUUUUUCAUUGUGCUGCUGAUUCAAGGAGGGAUACGAUCAUGAUUUGCCAAAACACAAGCAGAAUAUUUCAGUUUCUGUAUGUAUUCCUAGUGCAUUUUACUCUUUAGUAGAUUUUUCCUGACUUUUCUCAUUGACUGUAUGCAGUUUUAUUUUGAUAUGGUUUAUUGUCUGUUAUUCUGCAGUCUUUUCUCAAAUUCUACUGUAAUAGUAUGUUAAGACAGCUGGUUUAGUGAAGGAACGUUAAUAUGGUAGUAAUCUGCUGGUAGAGACCUGCUGUUUUGCCAAGAGUCAUUUCAUUUAAUAUAGCCGUUGUUUUACUUUUUUAAAAAAAUAAUUCUAGGUUAAAAUAGCAACACUUGGAAGUUUUUCUUUUAAUUUCAUUAGACUGUAUUGGGUACACUGAGUUAUAAAAGCACACAAAUCACUAUGUGUUACUAAUGUGUUAAGUGAGCAGGCCCUGACUGUUACUUUAAUGAAGUACCCCAAAUGUGAUCUUCUGUGUAGACUAGUUAGUAUAAAAAUGUUUCUUGUGCAGAAUGAACAACUACUGUUGUUAAUCUUAGCUGAAUGUGUGUAAUAUGGGACAAAGGAUUUUGUAGGGUACAGCAUGAAAAGAAGUAGCAGUCAAGAAGAGAAGAAUGCACUAGAUUUUAAAAUGGACACACUGCAUGGUGUGUUUGGCACAUACUGAGCUGACUGAAUUAAAAAAAUGUCUGCUGUUUUAUAAAUGUUUUAACAUUUAGACUGUUCAUUUUUGUUGAAAAGUACUUAUUUUUUGUAAAUAUUUUUUAUUUAUGCAUACAUAUAUAAACAAUCCAUUUGGGUUGGUGGCUUACAGAAUGCACAUUGACUGUGUAGUGCAUUAAGCUAUUUUGACUUCUUACAAGUCUAAAUGAUUUAAUAAAAAAUAUUUUUACAAGGUG